UAUUAUUAUCAGAUUAGACAAGAUUACUUUGUAUGUUGCUGCAUUUCAGGAUAUCUAUAAAGACGCAUAUCUUAUUUAUGCGGCAUAAAUAAGAUAUAGAUUUCCUACUUGCGCAUUUAUAUCAAAUUAUGUACAGCAUGUUUAUAUUGCCAUUUGCCAUUAUGAAAAUCUAUACAUGUAAAAUAUAGUUAGUAAUUUUUAAAUGUACCAGUGACUUACUUAAUUUAUUAGUCUUAUAAUGCAAUUUUUCGUAGGCCUGCUGUAGAUUCAAAAUUGUAUUUCUGUAAAAUCCCUGAAUAUUUUCUCUUGUAUGCAGGGUCAAUGCUUAAAUAUGUUCAAGGAGGAUCUCAAGGACAGGAUGAACCAUCCAGUAGUAGUGCCAUCCCUGGACAUCAACCACCAGCCAUUGUAGACCCUGCAACAAUCCCUAGCCAAGAAGAACAAGAACCAUCAACCACCAGUUCAGGUACAGUUCCAUACACAAGUACCACUGAGAGUCCUGUCACUGAGAGACUAUCAGAAAGUGACACUGUGGAGACAUGUGUGCCCCCUUCAACCGAUCCUGCUCUUUGGCCAGCUCACAUUGUAGAUGCUGAUCGUGUUGAAAUUGUGCGGAGAGGUCCUUUUAAUGUCAGCUCUGAUUUUAA
Long non-coding RNA from Oreochromis niloticus (Nile tilapia), 647 nucleotides. RefSeq lists it as uncharacterized. The record is from RefSeq and is a predicted model, not a curated record. Lineage: Eukaryota; Metazoa; Chordata; Actinopteri; Cichliformes; Cichlidae. The transcript is spliced from 2 exons.